This 2902-nucleotide ribosomal RNA is filed under the name Escherichia coli. RNAcentral's name for it is "bacterial LSU rRNA". It matches the Rfam family "Bacterial large subunit ribosomal RNA". Lineage: Bacteria; Pseudomonadati; Pseudomonadota; Gammaproteobacteria; Enterobacterales; Enterobacteriaceae. RNAcentral also lists the same sequence under 1 other name. The record is from RNAcentral.
UUAAGCGACUAAGCGUACACGGUGGAUGCCCUGGCAGUCAGAGGCGAUGAAGGACGUGCUAAUCUGCGAUAAGCGUCGGUAAGGUGAUAUGAACCGUUAUAACCGGCGAUUUCCGAAUGGGGAAACCCAGUGUGUUUCGACACACUAUCAUUAACUGAAUCCAUAGGUUAAUGAGGCGAACCGGGGGAACUGAAACAUCUAAGUACCCCGAGGAAAAGAAAUCAACCGAGAUUCCCCCAGUAGCGGCGAGCGAACGGGGAGCAGCCCAGAGCCUGAAUCAGUGUGUGUGUUAGUGGAAGCGUCUGGAAAGGCGCGCGAUACAGGGUGACAGCCCCGUACACAAAAAUGCACAUGCUGUGAGCUCGAUGAGUAGGGCGGGACACGUGGUAUCCUGUCUGAAUAUGGGGGGACCAUCCUCCAAGGCUAAAUACUCCUGACUGACCGAUAGUGAACCAGUACCGUGAGGGAAAGGCGAAAAGAACCCCGGCGAGGGGAGUGAAAAAGAACCUGAAACCGUGUACGUACAAGCAGUGGGAGCACGCUUAGGCGUGUGACUGCGUACCUUUUGUAUAAUGGGUCAGCGACUUAUAUUCUGUAGCAAGGUUAACCGAAUAGGGGAGCCGAAGGGAAACCGAGUCUUAACUGGGCGUUAAGUUGCAGGGUAUAGACCCGAAACCCGGUGAUCUAGCCAUGGGCAGGUUGAAGGUUGGGUAACACUAACUGGAGGACCGAACCGACUAAUGUUGAAAAAUUAGCGGAUGACUUGUGGCUGGGGGUGAAAGGCCAAUCAAACCGGGAGAUAGCUGGUUCUCCCCGAAAGCUAUUUAGGUAGCGCCUCGUGAAUUCAUCUCCGGGGGUAGAGCACUGUUUCGGCAAGGGGGUCAUCCCGACUUACCAACCCGAUGCAAACUGCGAAUACCGGAGAAUGUUAUCACGGGAGACACACGGCGGGUGCUAACGUCCGUCGUGAAGAGGGAAACAACCCAGACCGCCAGCUAAGGUCCCAAAGUCAUGGUUAAGUGGGAAACGAUGUGGGAAGGCCCAGACAGCCAGGAUGUUGGCUUAGAAGCAGCCAUCAUUUAAAGAAAGCGUAAUAGCUCACUGGUCGAGUCGGCCUGCGCGGAAGAUGUAACGGGGCUAAACCAUGCACCGAAGCUGCGGCAGCGACGCUUAUGCGUUGUUGGGUAGGGGAGCGUUCUGUAAGCCUGUGAAGGUGUACUGUGAGGUAUGCUGGAGGUAUCAGAAGUGCGAAUGCUGACAUAAGUAACGAUAAAGCGGGUGAAAAGCCCGCUCGCCGGAAGACCAAGGGUUCCUGUCCAACGUUAAUCGGGGCAGGGUGAGUCGACCCCUAAGGCGAGGCCGAAAGGCGUAGUCGAUGGGAAACAGGUUAAUAUUCCUGUACUUGGUGUUACUGCGAAGGGGGGACGGAGAAGGCUAUGUUGGCCGGGCGACGGUUGUCCCGGUUUAAGCGUGUAGGCUGGUUUUCCAGGCAAAUCCGGAAAAUCAAGGCUGAGGCGUGAUGACGAGGCACUACGGUGCUGAAGCAACAAAUGCCCUGCUUCCAGGAAAAGCCUCUAAGCAUCAGGUAACAUCAAAUCGUACCCCAAACCGACACAGGUGGUCAGGUAGAGAAUACCAAGGCGCUUGAGAGAACUCGGGUGAAGGAACUAGGCAAAAUGGUGCCGUAACUUCGGGAGAAGGCACGCUGAUAUGUAGGUGAAGUCCCUCGCGGAUGGAGCUGAAAUCAGUCGAAGAUACCAGCUGGCUGCAACUGUUUAUUAAAAACACAGCACUGUGCAAACACGAAAGUGGACGUAUACGGUGUGACGCCUGCCCGGUGCCGGAAGGUUAAUUGAUGGGGUCAGCGCAAGCGAAGCUCUUGAUCGAAGCCCCGGUAAACGGCGGCCGUAACUAUAACGGUCCUAAGGUAGCGAAAUUCCUUGUCGGGUAAGUUCCGACCUGCACGAAUGGCGUAAUGAUGGCCAGGCUGUCUCCACCCGAGACUCAGUGAAAUUGAACUCGCUGUGAAGAUGCAGUGUACCCGCGGCAAGACGGAAAGACCCCGUGAACCUUUACUAUAGCUUGACACUGAACAUUGAGCCUUGAUGUGUAGGAUAGGUGGGAGGCUUGGAAGUGUGGACGCCAGUCUGCAUGGAGCCGACCUUGAAAUACCACCCUUUAAUGUUUGAUGUUCUAACGUUGACCCGUAAUCCGGGUUGCGGACAGUGUCUGGUGGGUAGUUUGACUGGGGCGGUCUCCUCCUAAAGAGUAACGGAGGAGCACGAAGGUUGGCUAAUCCUGGUCGGACAUCAGGAGGUUAGUGCAAUGGCAUAAGCCAGCUUGACUGCGAGCGUGACGGCGCGAGCAGGUGCGAAAGCAGGUCAUAGUGAUCCGGUGGUUCUGAAUGGAAGGGCCAUCGCUCAACGGAUAAAAGGUACUCCGGGGAUAACAGGCUGAUACCGCCCAAGAGUUCAUAUCGACGGCGGUGUUUGGCACCUCGAUGUCGGCUCAUCACAUCCUGGGGCUGAAGUAGGUCCCAAGGGUAUGGCUGUUCGCCAUUUAAAGUGGUACGCGAGCUGGGUUUAGAACGUCGUGAGACAGUUCGGUCCCUAUCUGCCGUGGGCGCUGGAGAACUGAGGGGGGCUGCUCCUAGUACGAGAGGACCGGAGUGGACGCAUCACUGGUGUUCGGGUUGUCAUGCCAAUGGCACUGCCCGGUAGCUAAAUGCGGAAGAGAUAAGUGCUGAAAGCAUCUAAGCACGAAACUUGCCCCGAGAUGAGUUCUCCCUGACUCCUUGAGAGUCCUGAAGGAACGUUGAAGACGACGACGUUGAUAGGCCGGGUGUGUAAGCGCAGCGAUGCGUUGAGCUAACCGGUACUAAUGAACCGUGAGGCUUAACCUU